GGAGGCCACUGCUAUUGGGAUCCGACUAAGCCAUGCGAGUCGAGAGGGUUCGGCCCUCGGCAGACUGCUCAGUAACACGUGGAUAAUCUACCCUUAGGUGGAGGAUACUCUCGGGAAACUGAGAAUAAUACUCCAUAGAUCCAGGAUGCUGGAAUGCACCUAGAUUGAAAGUUCCGGCGCCUAAGGAUGAGUCUGCGGACUAUCAGGUAGUAUUCAGGGUAAAGACCUGACUAGCCUACGACGGAUACGGGUUGUGAGAGCAAUAGCCCGGAGACGAUAUCUGAGACACGAUAUCGGGCCCUACGGGGCGCAGCAGGCGCGAAAUCUUCACAAUGUGCGAAAGCACGAUGAGGGGAUCCCAAGUGUUGGUUCGUAAGAAUCAUCUGUUUCUUUGUCUAAAAAACAGAGAGAGUAAGAGCUGGGUAAGACGGGUGCCAGCCGCCGCGGUAAUACCUGCAGCUCAAGUGGUGGCCGCUAUUAUUGGGCCUAAAACGUCCGUAGCCGGUUUAGUAAAUGCUUGGGUAAAUUGUGUAGCUCAACUAUACGAAUACCGAGUAGACUGCUGAACUUGGGACCGGGAGAGGCUAGAGGUACUCCUAGGGUAGAGGUGAAAUUCUGUAAUCCUAGGGGGACCACCAGUGGCGAAGGCGUCUAGCCAGAACGGGUCUGACGGUGAGGGACGAAGCCCUGGGGCGCAAACCGGAUUAGAUACCCGGGUAGUCCAGGGUGUAAACGCUGCUCGCUUGAUGUUAGUUGGGCUCCGAGCCCAACUAGUGUCGGAGAGAAGUUGUUAAGCGAGCUGCCUGGGAAGUACGGUCGCAAGGCUGAAACUUAA
RNAcentral lists this ribosomal RNA (835 nucleotides) under uncultured archaeon. RNAcentral describes it as "bacterial SSU rRNA". It matches the Rfam family "Archaeal small subunit ribosomal RNA", at positions 19 to 859 of the family's 1478-position model. The record is from RNAcentral.